CCUACGGGUGGCAGCAGUGAGGAAUAUUGGUCAAUGGGCGGGAGCCUGAACCAGCCAAGUCGCGUGAAUGCAGAAGGUACUUAGUAUUGUAAGCUUCUUUUGUCGGGGAACAAGGGCGGAGACGCGUCACCUGAUGAGUUUACCCUAAGGAAAAGCGUCGGCUACUUCCGCGCCAGCAGCCGCGGUAAGAUGGGGGAUGCGAGCGUUAUCCGGAUUUGUUGGGUUAAAGGGGUGCGCAGCCGUGGAAUGAAGUUGGCGGUAAAAUGUCGGGGCUAACCCCCGACCGGCAGUUGAGACUGGUUUUCUAGAGUUGGAGAGAGGUAUGUGGAAGUCGUGGUGUAGCGGUGAAAUGCGUAGAGAUGACGAGGAACUCCGGUGGCGAAGGCGGCCCCCCGG
This 396-nucleotide ribosomal RNA is filed under the name uncultured bacterium. Its description in RNAcentral is "partial 16S ribosomal RNA". It matches the Rfam family "Bacterial small subunit ribosomal RNA", at positions 338 to 732 of the family's 1533-position model. The record is from RNAcentral.